UCCACUUCAUCUAACACAAAGAACGGAGCGGGCCGAAAACUAGAAAAAAAGUUACACUCCAAUUGUCCAUUGGCAUGAACCGUUUGCCUGGAGCCACGCAGUUAUAGCUAAUUCCCUCUAGGAUCAACUUUCAGUCAUAAAAGACCACCACGAGAAAGGUAAAAGCAGAUGUGGAAGACCUGAUCGACAUCUUGAGUCCACAUUCAGCGCCACAGGAUCUGCCAUGGGGACUGACUGUGGGUCGGGCAAGGGUUCUAGCAAAGAGACUAUCGACACAAUCCUGCCUUUGGUUCUUUCCUUCUCCUGACCCCAGGUCAGCCAUUUCCCAAGACCCUCUACAUUACAGGUACCUUCACUACAGAGACCACUGACUGUUCCAUAAAAUCAAAUUAGCACCAGAGAGCAGAACUCCAGAACUGAAGAGAAUCUGGAAACUAAGUGACCAACCCCUUCAUUUUUCAG
This is a long non-coding RNA of Callorhinus ursinus (northern fur seal), 462 nucleotides long. RefSeq lists it as uncharacterized. Lineage: Eukaryota; Metazoa; Chordata; Mammalia; Carnivora; Otariidae. The record is from RefSeq and is a predicted model, not a curated record.